This is a long non-coding RNA of Helianthus annuus (common sunflower), 217 nucleotides long. RefSeq lists it as uncharacterized. The record is from RefSeq and is a predicted model, not a curated record. NCBI's taxonomy places the organism in Eukaryota, Viridiplantae, Streptophyta, Magnoliopsida, Asterales, Asteraceae. The transcript is spliced from 3 exons.
AAAACAGUGGUUACUUCCAUUGUAGUUAUGGGUCAUGAAAACAACGCUCCUUCGUUGUUAAAGUUGAUUGGGGACUAUGAUCCUAUAUUUUUGGAAAUACCAUAUGAUUUUGCAACCUUAUUGUGGGGAGAACAACUUCCAUAUGUCAAUGUCUUAAAAUUAUUGAUGAUGAUUUAUCGUGUUUAUUUUGGAUGGUCCGGAGUUUUUGGCUGCAACU